Long non-coding RNA from Nematostella vectensis (starlet sea anemone), 479 nucleotides. RefSeq lists it as uncharacterized. The record is from RefSeq and is a predicted model, not a curated record. The transcript is spliced from 2 exons. NCBI's taxonomy places the organism in Eukaryota, Metazoa, Cnidaria, Anthozoa, Actiniaria, Edwardsiidae.
CACAACUAACACUAGAAUAUCCCCAUGAAAGGUAGAUCCACACACAACUAACACUAGGAAUAUCCCCAUGAAAGGUAGAUCCACACACAACUAACACUAGAAUAUUUCCAUAUAAGGUAGAUCCACACACAACUAACACUAGAAUAUCCCCAUGAAAGGUAGAUCCACACACAACUAACACUAGGAAUAUCCCCAUGAAAGGUAGAUCCACACACAACUAACACUAGAAUAUUUCCAUAUAAGGUAGAUCCACACACAACUAACACUAGAAUAUCCCCAUGAAAGGUAGAUUUACACACAACUAACACUAGGAAUAUCCCCAUGAAAGGUAGAUCCACACACAACUAACACUAGAAUAUCCCCAUGAAAGGUAGAUCCACACACAACUGACACUAGAAUAUCCCCAUGAAAGGUAGAUCCACACACAACUAACACUAGAAUAUCCCCAUGAAAGGUAGAUCCACACACAACUAACACUA